GAUAUGUCCAAGGGGUGUUUCCGUACGAAAUUUUCCAAAAUGGCUGACUCGCUCGCGCAUGCGCGACUUAGAUUGAGCGGCGAUGCCAAUCCAUUCACCGCGGUUGGUAUUCAUCAGGUGUUGGCACCGUGGUGGUUGGUGGCUGUCGGAACAGGUGAAUACUGUUGUUUUCGCAUCCAAGCACGUCCAGUUGCUUAAAAAGAUUUCCUAAAAUCACGUUCAAUACCCCAAUCAGCGAUUAGUUUAAGGCGAGUUCGCGUGGAGGGCAACAUGUGGGCAGUAGUGUCGGUGAUGAAGAGGAUCAGAGUCAAAGAGCAAGACAGGACGAGGAGUCAAGGCCAACGUAUUCAGGGAUUUCAAAGAGCCAGCCAGGUUGCUGUGGUUACAAAAAGGACGUCUGGGCUCACAGCUUUGCACAGUGUCGGGGUCAGGGAAGCUCCCAAGUGACCAGCGGCCGGAGCAACAGCCAUCGGCCCCCGCUGAGCAUCAGUAAUUAGAGCCCUCCUUCACCCCCUCCUUCUCCCUGUGCUUCCCUACAAAUCCG
Molecule: long non-coding RNA, 544 nt
Organism: Seriola aureovittata
Lineage: Eukaryota; Metazoa; Chordata; Actinopteri; Carangiformes; Carangidae
Exons: 4
Source: RefSeq, a predicted model, not a curated record